This is a long non-coding RNA of Zea mays, 1085 nucleotides long. RefSeq lists it as uncharacterized. The record is from RefSeq and is a predicted model, not a curated record. The transcript has 5 exons. Lineage: Eukaryota; Viridiplantae; Streptophyta; Magnoliopsida; Poales; Poaceae.
AGUACGAAACGAAUAAAAAAUAACUAAAGCUUAUCCUCGACCUUUCGUUCUCACCCACAGCCUAGCACCAUCUUGUCUUGCCCACGAGAGAAGCAAACUCAAGAUCCACAUCGCCUAAUCGCCUUGCGUCAGUGCUUCUGCUUGCUGUCUGCCGCGGCUGCACGGAUGAGAGAAGUUGCAUCCUUCUGACUCUGUUGCUCGCCUUCAGACACCCGUCCGUCGCCUCUAACACCGGUGCGUUGUUUGGUCUUCCCUGUGAGUUCGCAGCCACCGCUAGCUGCGAGGAGGCGCACAAAAAAGACGUCGAGGCUGCCGCUGUCCCACAUGUAUUUGUAUAUUUUCUUCAUGGUCGAGAUUUGCAGGUACCUCGUGGAGUAGAGGAACUGUUCAGGUUUGAGCUAGGCUUAAUCUUCAAAUUAUUCUCUGUCUUCUGCCAAUUUCUCAGCUGUUUGUGUACAAAUACUAUAAGUUUCUUCAGAUUCUGCAGCUCGAGCGAGUAUACAAUUGUAAACUCGUGUUAAGUUACUGAAGCGAUUCGAUAACUGGACUUUAGGAUCAUCAUGCAUGUAUCUUUAGUGCAUGAGAGCAUAGGAUUCCAGCAAAUUCAAAUUUCUUGCAGCUGCACCUCACUUUUAACUCCAAAGGUGUGCUCUGUGUUGCUUUGAAGUCACUUGUAACUUCUUCAUAUCGUUUGUCCCUAAGCAGACUGUCAAAGUGCUCAAAAAAAGUUUUAUUCAAUGGAUGCAUCCAGGUUCUAGGAGAGAAUCAUGAGUAAACUUGUUGGCAGGAUUUAAAAUUGAAAAACAUAUCAUUCACCUGUUCACCCUCAAGAUGGGACUCUACGCCAGGAUGGUCCUCGAAACCAUCCGCUUCUCUAGCACCAGGGCGCAUCAUCGGCAGGCGUUGAGUUGAGAGAUUAGGGGAGCAAAAACUUUAUUAUUGUAGGCGUUGAUUUGAGAGAAUGAAUACAUCAUGAUGUGUGGGGAAAAGAAAGGAUGAGAAAAGGCGGGAAUGGUAAUAUAUUAUAUUUCUCUUUCCCGCUGUUUUUUUGCUUAUGGAUAUGAUUGGACGUCUGAUUUUUUUUC